RNAcentral lists this unclassified non-coding RNA (257 nucleotides) under Hevea brasiliensis (rubber tree). Lineage: Eukaryota; Viridiplantae; Streptophyta; Magnoliopsida; Malpighiales; Euphorbiaceae. The record is from RNAcentral.
GGUUGUCAUGCCAUUCAUGGCUGGAGGAUCUUGCCUUCAUAUCAUGAAAUCUUCUUAUCCUGAUGGUUUUGAAGAGCCUGUAAUUGCUACAUUAUUGCGCGAGGUCCUCAAAGCCCUUGUAUAUCUUCAUUACCAUGGACACAUCCAUAGAGAUGUAAAGGCUGGGAACAUUUUGAUUGAUUCAAAUGGUGCUAUUAAAUUGGCAGAUUUUGGAGUUGCUGCUUGCAUGUUUGAUACUGGUGAUAGGCAGCGUUCAA